RNAcentral lists this ribosomal RNA (200 nucleotides) under uncultured bacterium. RNAcentral's name for it is "partial 16S ribosomal RNA". It matches the Rfam family "Bacterial small subunit ribosomal RNA", at positions 524 to 723 of the family's 1533-position model. The record is from RNAcentral.
UACGAAGGGGGCUAGCGUUGUUCGGAUUUACUGGGCGUAAAGCGCGUGUAGGCGGGCUGGAAAGUUGGGGGUGAAAUCCCGAGGCUCAACCUCGGAACUGCCUCCAAAACUUCCAGCCUGGAGCAAGAUAGAGGCAAGUGGAAUUGCGAGUGUAGAGGUGAAAUUCGUAGAUAUUCGCAGGAACACCAGUGGCGAAGGCG